UACGGAGGGUGCAAGCGUUAUCCGGAUUCACUGGGUUUAAAGGGUGCGUAGGCGGGCAGGUAAGUCAGUGGUGAAAUCUCCGGGCUUAACCCGGAAACUGCCGUUGAUACUAUCUGUCUUGAAUAUCGUGGAGGUAAGCGGAAUAUGUCAUGUAGCGGUGAAAUGCUUAGAUAUGACAUAGAACACCCAUUGCGAAGGCAGCUAACUACACGAUCAUUGACGCUGAGGCACGAAAGCGUGGGGAGCAAACAGG
This 253-nucleotide ribosomal RNA is filed under the name uncultured bacterium. Its description in RNAcentral is "partial 16S ribosomal RNA". It matches the Rfam family "Bacterial small subunit ribosomal RNA", at positions 524 to 776 of the family's 1533-position model. The record is from RNAcentral.